UUGUCUGGCUGUUUACGAAGCUUACCAUAAGAUUUACUGUGACUCUCCAUGAGCAGAGCUUUUGCAGAUAACAAAGUCAUCGAAUUAGAUCCUACAUUGGCAAGAGUUUUCUUCCAAAAGGGUACUGAAACUAGGAAGAAUAUACUACUGCUAAAACAACACCAAAUGACACCAAGUUUAAGAGGAUGAUAGAUGAAUUUAAUCUUCGCAUUGUAGGGAAAAGAAAGAUUUGGUUCAACAGAUACCGCCAACAUAUUUCUUCAUCUUUCUUUUCGCUUCGGUACUUCCACGACACAUAUUAUAGAACAGUUAGGUUGAUGUGUUCGUAUUGCAAGAAACACAAUGAAAAAUUUCACGAACGAAAAGAUGAUGGUAGAAACGCUGACACCAAAGAAGUUGCUUAUUCUAGCUAGCUCUUCAGGAAGCUGAGAGAAAUGGAAAUAGCAUAUAUAUUAUCUGCCUUAUCCGUGAGUACACUUAUCGCUUCCACUCAAGUUCCCUUUGAUUAGUGUUCCAGACUUAGUUUGGGGCUUUAUGUUAACUGCUAUUAUCGGUUACAGGUGUGGGACUGUGGAGGAUUCGGAGGAUGAGGACCAUACUUCUCAGAUAGGUUCUUACAAUACUACUAAACCAUUUUUUAUCUUAGAGCUGAAAAACCUAUUUUUUUGCUUAACAAUAAGAACCUUUGUGCCUAUGUAUGUGAAAAUAACUACUGUCCAACCCCUUCUUUUGUUUAGUCAUGUGUUCUACGAAGUACAAGUUGUGAUAUAGACGGUCCCAUUAUCGAGGAGAUACGCCAUACAUGUUCCAUCUAUCUUUUAUGCUUCUGUCCUGGCAUUAGUUUGUUUUGUUUCCAUGAUCAGGUGGCUAAGCGUUGAUGCUUUUUGAUCAGGUGGCUAAGCAUUGACGCUCACUGCAGGUUUCAACUUUCAACUGAAUCGCUUUGGUUUACCCCAAAAAAGAGGUACUAGCUUAACUUUUUCCAAUGAGUGUUAUUAUCAUUAAGCCUUACGCUACAGCUCAGACUCAUCGAAUAUUCUUCUCUGUUUUAUAAGUACUACACUGUGUUCUUCAGUGUAUCAAGGAAAGAAAUCUACUCCCAGGUAUAUAUUUAAAUAUAUGGUUUCCGUUGCCAUUUAAAUAUAAUUCAUAUAGUUUUAAGCACACAACGCAUAUGCUAAUUUCAGAAGCUUUGCUGGAAACGUAAGUUUAAGAAGUAGAUAUACAUGUUUUAAACUUUUUUAUUAUGACUAUAGCUAUUGAUACAGUUCAUGGGCAGGGAGAUGGAAAUGAUAUGCCUGGAGUUGGAGCAGUUAAAACUGUGCCCUCCAUUGAUGGCACCAAGGACGUCCCUGCUGAGUUUAAUAGUGUUGAAGUCCAAGCUCACAGUGCAGACCUUCGUGAGGAUGUACGCACCGUCAAGAAACCCUGCAAUGGUUAGCUUCGCAUACAUGGGGUGUCCAAGCUCAAUGGCCAUUACUGCUCUUCCUUUUGUUUUGAAUUUACUUAGUUUCAUUAAACUGUUUAGAACUCUGUUCCUCUAAAAAUCCUUUUCUAUGUUUUUACGUUUUAGGAAUUUUUCAUUUUGCUUUGCUUUGUCAUUAAGAGCAAGAACUCUAUUGAGCUUUAUCUAAAUUUAUAAAACCCCAGUUAUGGAAGCUAAUUUUCCA
Molecule: long non-coding RNA, 1670 nt
Organism: Raphanus sativus (radish)
Lineage: Eukaryota; Viridiplantae; Streptophyta; Magnoliopsida; Brassicales; Brassicaceae
Exons: 4
Source: RefSeq, a predicted model, not a curated record